Molecule: RNA transcript, 4700 nt
Organism: Toxotes jaculatrix (banded archerfish)
Lineage: Eukaryota; Metazoa; Chordata; Actinopteri; Toxotidae
Exons: 10
Source: RefSeq, a predicted model, not a curated record
AUUGUGGCUAACAGAUUAUGUUGCACCACACACCAUUUUCAUGCUUAUCUCAUGACUGUGGUGUAGGAAGGCUUGGUCCAGUUUCAUUUUUCACUUCUUCACAAUGUAUUGUGGUAUUCAUACCGCAGCCUUGAAACUCACACUUGUUACCACUCUAAUUGUCUGUAGCCAUAACGCAGACAACAACAACAACCACCAAAAAAAAGUCAGAGUUGACCUUUGAUAACCCUGCAUCGAUUCAGAUCUGUCUGUGCGCCUGCCUUUCUCUGUUGUAAUUUUGGUGUUUGUCAGACCUUUUCUGCUUAAGUCCAGCGGAGGAACUAAUCACCAUAAUGAGUCAGAGACAGGCGUGAAAGAAAGAUUCACAGAGAAAAGUGACUCUUUUUCCAUAUUUCCAAGAUUCACUGUGACGUGUUCAUGAACAAGUGACAUUUAAAGACAGGAAGAGAACAUUAUCACAUCUGUUCCUGGUAUUGUUGUGCUUGAUAGGAGCCAUGAAUUUUGUAUCUAUAUACAGAAAGGUAUGCUUAGGCAGCUAUAAAAUACAUAUACUAUAUAAAGUAUAAAUAUAAAGUCUUGACUCCUGGUGGUUAACAUUUUUUUUAAUUUAUGAUGUUUGGGAUUUGCAUCAUCAGUUUCAUACUUUGAUGUUUGUUGAGUUGUUUAUACUAUAUGGACGCUAUACUUCAGGCUGCUUCACACUGUGGAAACAAAUUACCUUCUGUUUAUCUGUAUUGUUCAUAAUGGACGUGCCUUAAAUUCCUUAAUGUGGGAAAAUAAUUUCUGGCCAUUAAAUAGCCAUUAAAUAUUUAAUUUUGACCAGUGCCGAUUCUUCCUGCAAUAUAUAUAUAAUUUUAAGCCACUGGAUGUUCUGAAAACAAGUUCUGGAAAGUUGCUGAAGUGCUUAGAUUUAACGUCUAAUGUUUUUUGGGAACGUGCUUCAAGAAAAUAAUGGAGAAUCAAAGACGUCUGCCUGGGUAAGUUUGAUGUAGUUAGUAAAACUAACUACAGCAUUAUACAUUCUGUAUAAUGCUGUAGUUAGUUUUAUAUGUGCAGUAUUUUUGGUGCUAUUCUGUAAAAUGAGUAUCAGUCACAGAAAGUCUUAACCGAAAGUAUGAAGUAUGUGUGACUUCCUUUUUAAGACACUUCACCAUCAAUGUUUACCUUCUUUUUUCAGUAUAGUUUACUGACUUCUGACAGUAGCACUGUUGUUUGGACUGUUCUGUUAUUAUGGGAUAUUGGAAACUGUGGUUAGCUCUUCUUCUUCCCCUGUCCUUGUUUUUGGAUUCUGAAGGUACGGUACAGCAACAUUUCAUCAAACGCAGUUAAUGCGGGUCAAGUCAGUUUUGCAGUCUGGUAAAAUUACAAGUAGCCAGUACUUCUUUUCUUAGUUUUCUUGAAGUAGGCUUUUGUGGUUUAGUCAAAAAAUAAAGCAAAGCAAACAACCAAGUACCUCAGUGAUUUAUAUUAUUUCCCCUGAUUGCAGAAGCUGCUGUGAAAACCAUUGGGAGAGAACAAGAUGUCACUCAAGUAUGCACCACCGCUACACUCCAUAUCAUCACGUUGAUAGUGUGUAAGAUCAGCACAAAGAGGAGCAGGGGAGAAGAGUGCUAUCUGCUGUAUCAACAUGGACAUGACUUUGAGCACAAAUGUGACUCCAGGUUCACGCUUAUGGCGGAGAAUCAGACAGUGUUCCUCCACCUGACCAGGUUAACACCAGAGGAUAGUGGGAACUACACCUGUGAGUGUUCACAUUUUUAUGGAACAGACGCUCUUUAUCUCAGUAUCACUGUGGAAGGAGAUGAAGAGGCCAGCACUUCUCAUGUGACAAUGCUCAGUUUUACCACUGUCAUUAGCAGAGUUACUGGAUUUAUCAUUGUAACUGGCGUUGUCCUUGGACUCAUCCUGAGAAAAAAUCAUUGCAGAGACCACACAAGGUCAGGACCACCUGGGUUAUCUGUAUGUGAAACCCGCUGCUCUUUGGACAAAGAUCACCCAGAUAACACCUACACAAGCCUUGAGCAGCCACCAAGUGAUCUCUACCAGACCUUAGUGCACCAAUGACAAUUGAGCAACUGCCCCAUUCUGAACAGGAAAUAGACGGAAGAGGCAAAACUGUGAAAUCUAUAGAAAAUAUCUAAAACAAGAGUCAAGACAACUGUACAGUUGGUCUCAGCCAAAACACUGACCAAACAAAGAAAGAAGAUUUACUAAGAAACAGUUUCUCUUUGCUCUUUUACUCAGAAUGUUUUUCUUUAUUAAAUCAUUGCAGGAGUCACAAAUAUCAAGAAACGCCAUGAAGUGUUAAACAUGCUGUAUCAUAUCUUUUUUUUUUUUUUUUUACAGUACAUCAUUACUCCUGCUUAGACAACACAAAAUGAGUUUUUGUCUUGUCAUUAUUUCACUACUGUACAUGUCAUGUUGUUUGAAAAUUCUUGAAUGUUUGUGGAUUAAACAGGCACAGUUUUCUACAAUGAAUGAAUGACUGAAUUAGUAAGCCUUUGAGCUCUCAGGCUUUGUUAGUGUUCAUCAAGUUCUAGCGUGAGGUAAGUAGGUGUAGGAAUAUAGGACUAUUUUAGCCUUCGCGAUUAACACGAUGCUUCCCAGCUGUUGUUGCGUGUUAACUUGAAAGUAAAAGCCUUUUAGAACACUUCACAUCAGCUUAUACUGCACCUAAAAAGGUGAGAGCUUUGAGGUUUUAAUGUAGGCGGUAAAAGAACAUUUCAGAGAGCUGUGUUGGUCGUCUUUUCAGAUCAGUGAUCUGCACUCUGCUUUCAACAGUUACACUUCUGUUCAGAUCAAUUGGCCAGUAGCGGGUAUGUGUGUUGAGAACAGAGGUACUGUACAAAACUUUACUCCACACUACAACUUUACAUUAUGUAACAUUUAUUCUGGUUAUAUUUGAUAGGAAGAGAAAGUCUGUACUCUGUAUUCAAAGAUGAAUGCAACUCAAGGUUCACAUUGCUAAACAAGAAUCUUAUUAUAUUUAACCAAAAGAGUUUCACACCAAUGGACAGUGGGAAAAACUGAUCAGAGAGGUUGAAAUGACGUGUUUCAAGAUAUUUUCUGUGUGACAAAGUUCAGCAGAUGGAGAAUAGAGCACUUUUACUGGCAUGAAGUUCAUUGCUACACUUGUCAUCACUAUUUCUGUAUUUGUUAUGACACCUGAGAUAAUCUGUGUGAAUCAUGUCCUUAGGAAAGAAAAUAAAUCAUCGCAGGUGAAAGAUUUUUACUAAAUGCUUUAAAUUUGUAAAAUAAUACUUCAUGUUUCUACAGUGUGUUGUAAAGUUGUGAUGAAAUGCUGUACUGCGACAGUACAGUGUUCAAAUACUCUCUUUACAAAUGAAAAUAUGGCUCAAUUUUAACGAGUAGCAUUUGUUUUCUGUUGUGUUUAAAUCAGAUGCCAGUUUUGAAAUAGCUGCCACUUGUUUUUGAUUUCUUUAAAACAGUGAAAAUACUCUUGGUCUUUCAUUUGUUCUGCAAAUAGCUAAGGAGACUGCAAUUCCCUCUGUAACAGUUUGAGGGAUGCCCUGACUAACUCUGACAUUCAUUUAGCUCACAGAGAAAACACAAGAUCAGGAUCAUGUGGAUUAACCAGAUCAGAAACACCCUGGCUUUUGAGACCUCAAAGCCAACCACGUGUCCACAGGGUCAAAUGUGCCUGAAUGGAGCGAUUUCCCCAAACAAGACUGUGGAGGUUGUCAUGAAGUCCUUCAGAUGAAGUUAUAAAUGAAUAGGACCUCACACUGACUCGCUGUGAGAGCAGAGAGUUUGAGGUUUAGGAAGCUGAAGAACAGUGCAAAGGGGUGUGUCUGUCCUCGAGCCGACAGUGAACUGCAAAAGACACAACAGCAACUUGUGAAAAUCACUGGGAAAGAACCAUAUGAGACUCCAGUAUGCACCAAUGAUACACACAAUAGCAUCGUAAUUAUAGUGUGUGCGAUCAGAACAGAGAGACACUGGACAGACAACUGUCAACUACUGUAUAGAUUUGACCAAGGCUUUGAGAACAAAUGUGACUCCAGGUUCAAACUUAUGUCAGAGAAUCAGACUGGAGUCCUUCAUCUGACCAGAUUAACAUCAGAAGACAGUGGGAACUACACCUGUCAGUGUUCACAUGCUUUGGGAACACACGUACAGUCUUUCAACAUAACUGUGGAAGGAGAUGAAAACGACGAAGGUUCUGCAGAAAUAUCUUUCCCCUUUGUUGAAAUUAUAACUGCUGUAACUGUAUUCAUCAUUAUAACUGGUGCCAUCCUGGGAUUUACUUACAGAAAAAAUCACCACAAAAGACAAAUAGAACCCAUGACCAGAGAUCCAAACAUGGAACCAGGAGACGUUGAGCCGUACAGCACCUUCAUACAGAGAGAGAAUGGCCUUUAUUCAGUUGCCACAGUCCACUGGAAGACAUAAACCUCUAAAACUAAUAAUUCUGAUGUGUUUGCCUGAAAUUCUUUUGUACAGAUUUAAUUAUACAAUAUCUACUUCCAUGUGAUGCAUGUUUUCCUAUUGAAUAAUAAGUGAAACAGGGCCUCCUGUCUAUAAGGUAACCAUUUUGCUUUGCCAGAUAUUUCACUUAUUCAUUUACUGUCGGUUUUAAAAUGUUAAAUUUACAAAUGGAAAUUUAAUGUUUUAAAAGGCAUGAGAACGUCAUAGUGUAUAAAAAUAUGAUGAAGAGAACACAUUAAUUAUCUAAUAAA